Molecule: ribosomal RNA, 492 nt
Filed under: uncultured bacterium
Lineage: Bacteria
Description: partial 16S ribosomal RNA
Rfam family: Bacterial small subunit ribosomal RNA
Source: RNAcentral
AGUGAACGCUGGCGGUAGGCCUAACACAUGCAAGUCGAACGGCAGCACAGUAAGAGCUUGCUCUUACGGGUGGCGAGUGGCGGACGGGUGAGGAAUACAUCGGAAUCUACUUUUUCGUGGGGGAUAACGUAGGGAAACUUACGCUAAUACCGCAUACGACCUACGGGUGAAAGCAGGGGAUCUUCGGACCUCGCGCGAUUGAAUGAGCCGAUGUCGGAUUGGCUAGUUGGCGGGGUAAAGGCCCACCAAGGCGACGAUCCGUAGCUGGUCUGAGAGGAUGAUCAGCCACACUGGAACUGAGACACGGUCCAGACUCCUACGGGAGGCAGCAGUGGGGAAUAUUGGACAAUGGGCGCAAGCCUGAUCCAGCCAUACCGCGUGGGUGAAGAAGGCCUUCGGGUUGUAAAGCCCUUUUGUUGGGAAAGAAAAGCAGCAGGUUAAUACCCCGCUGUUCUGACGGUACCCAAAGAAUAAGCACCGGCUAACUUCGUG